RNAcentral lists this ribosomal RNA (207 nucleotides) under uncultured bacterium. RNAcentral's name for it is "partial 16S ribosomal RNA". It matches the Rfam family "Bacterial small subunit ribosomal RNA", at positions 568 to 774 of the family's 1533-position model. The record is from RNAcentral.
CGCGUAGGCGGGUCACCAAGUCCGGGGUGAAAGCUUUCGGCUUAACCGGAAAAGGGCCUUGGAUACUGGUGGUCUCGAGGGAGGUAGGGGUCUGCGGAACUUCUGGUGGAGCGGUGAAAUGCGUUGAUAUCAGAAGGAACGCCGGUGGCGAAAGCGGCGGACUGGACCUCUUCUGACGCUGAGGCGCGAAAGCCAGGGGAGCAAACG